Molecule: ribosomal RNA, 2279 nt
Filed under: Salmonella enterica subsp. enterica serovar Enteritidis
Lineage: Bacteria; Pseudomonadati; Pseudomonadota; Gammaproteobacteria; Enterobacterales; Enterobacteriaceae
Description: partial 23S ribosomal RNA
Rfam family: Bacterial large subunit ribosomal RNA
Source: RNAcentral
AACCCAGUGUGACUCGUCACACUAUCAUUAACUGAAUCCAUAGGUUAAUGAGGCGAACCGGGGGAACUGAAACAUCUAAGUACCCCGAGGAAAAGAAAUCAACCGAGAUUCCCCCAGUAGCGGCGAGCGAACGGGGAGGAGCCCAGAGCCUGAAUCAGCAUGUGUGUUAGUGGAAGCGUCUGGAAAGGCGCGCGAUACAGGGUGACAGCCCCGUACACAAAAGCGCAUGUGCUGUGAGCUCGAUGAGUAGGGCGGGACACGUGGUAUCCUGUCUGAAUAUGGGGGGACCAUCCUCCAAGGCUAAAUACUCCUGACUGACCGAUAGUGAACCAGUACCGUGAGGGAAAGGCGAAAAGAACCCCGGCGAGGGGAGUGAAAAAGAACCUGAAACCGUGUACGUACAAGCAGUGGGAGCCCCACCACCAAAGCAUUUGCUGUACCGCGUUGACGGAGCGAAGCGACGUCAAACCGAUAAAACAGCAGUGUAAAGUGAGCCGCAGGGCGCUUUGCGCGACAGCGCAAAGGCAGGCGGUUUCGCGUAGCGAAAGCGAAUGCUUUGGGGUGGGGUGACUGCGUACCUUUUGUAUAAUGGGUCAGCGACUUAUAUUCUGUAGCAAGGUUAACCGAAUAGGGGAGCCGGAGGGAAACCGAGUCUUAAUUGGGCGUUAAGUUGCAGGGUAUAGACCCGAAACCCGGUGAUCUAGCCAUGGGCAGGUUGAAGGUUGGGUAACACUAACUGGAGGACCGAACCGACUAAUGUUGAAAAAUUAGCGGAUGACCUGUGGCUGGGGGUGAAAGGCCAAUCAAACCGGGAGAUAGCUGGUUCUCCCCGAAAGCUAUUUAGGUAGCGCCUCGUGAAUUCAUCUCCGGGGGUAGAGCACUGUUUCGGCUAGGGGGCCAUCCCGGCUUACCAACCCGAUGCAAACUGCGAAUACCGGAGAAUGUUAUCACGGGAGACACACGGCGGGUGCUAACGUCCGUCGUGAAGAGGGAAACAACCCAGACCGCCAGCUAAGGUCCCAAAGUCAUGGUUAAGUGGGAAACGAUGUGGGAAGGCCCAGACAGCCAGGAUGUUGGCUUAGAAGCAGCCAUCAUUUAAAGAAAGCGUAAUAGCUCACUGGUCGAGUCGGCCUGCGCGGAAGAUGUAACGGGGCUAAACCAUGCACCGAAGCUGCGGCAGCGACACUGUGUGUUGUUGGGUAGGGGAGCGUUCUGUAAGCCUGUGAAGGUGUGUCGUGAGGCAUGCUGGAGGUAUCAGAAGUGCGAAUGCUGACAUAAGUAACGAUAAAGCGGGUGAAAAGCCCGCUCGCCGGAAGACCAAGGGUUCCUGUCCAACGUUAAUCGGGGCAGGGUGAGUCGACCCCUAAGGCGAGGCCGAAAGGCGUAGUCGAUGGGAAACGGGUUAAUAUUCCCGUACUUGGUGUUACUGCGAAGGGGGGACGGAGAAGGCUAUGUUGGCCGGGCGACGGUUGUCCCGGUUUAAGCGUGUAGGUGUGUGUUCUAGGUAAAUCCGGUUCACUUUAACACUGAGGCGUGACGACGAGGCACUACGGUGCUGAAGCAACAAAUGCCCUGCUUCCAGGAAAAGCCUCUAAGCAUCAGGUAACAUCAAAUCGUACCCCAAACCGACACAGGUGGUCAGGUAGAGAAUACCAAGGCGCUUGAGAGAACUCGGGUGAAGGAACUAGGCAAAAUGGUGCCGUAACUUCGGGAGAAGGCACGCUGACACGUAGGUGAAGUGAUUUACUCAUGGAGCUGAAGUCAGUCGAAGAUACCAGCUGGCUGCAACUGUUUAUUAAAAACACAGCACUGUGCAAACACGAAAGUGGACGUAUACGGUGUGACGCCUGCCCGGUGCCGGAAGGUUAAUUGAUGGGGUCAGCGCAAGCGAAGCUCCUGAUCGAAGCCCCGGUAAACGGCGGCCGUAACUAUAACGGUCCUAAGGUAGCGAAAUUCCUUGUCGGGUAAGUUCCGACCUGCACGAAUGGCGUAAUGAUGGCCAGGCUGUCUCCACCCGAGACUCAGUGAAAUUGAACUCGCUGUGAAGAUGCAGUGUACCCGCGGCAAGACGGAAAGACCCCGUGAACCUUUACUAUAGCUUGACACUGAACAUUGAGCCUUGAUGUGUAGGAUAGGUGGGAGGCUUUGAAGUGUGGACGCCAGUCUGCAUGGAGCCGACCUUGAAAUACCACCCUUUAAUGUUUGAUGUUCUAACGUGGACCCGUUACCCGGGUUGCGGACAGUGUCUGGUGGGUAGUUUGACUGGGGCGGUCUCCUCC